RNAcentral lists this ribosomal RNA (433 nucleotides) under uncultured bacterium. RNAcentral describes it as "partial 16S ribosomal RNA". It matches the Rfam family "Bacterial small subunit ribosomal RNA", at positions 29 to 507 of the family's 1533-position model. The record is from RNAcentral.
AACGAACGCUGGCGGCAUGCCUAACACAUGCAAGUCGAACGAGACCUUCGGGUCUAGUGGCGCACGGGUGCGUAACGCGUGGGAACCUGCCCUUAGGUUCGGAAUAACUCCCCGACAGGGGUGCUAAUACCGGAUAAUGUCUUCGGACCAAAGAUUUAUCGCCUUUGGAUGGGCCCGCGUUGGAUUAGCUAGUUGGUAGGGUAAAAGCCUACCAAGGCGACGAUCCAUAGCUGGUCUGAGAGGAUGAUCAGCCACACUGGGACUGAGACACGGCCCAGACUCCUACGGGAGGCAGCAGUGGGGAAUAUUGGACAAUGGGCGAAAGCCUGAUCCAGCAAUGCCGCGUGAGUGAUGAAGGCCUUAGGGUUGUAAAGCUCUUUUACCUGGGAUGAUAAUGACAGUACCGGGAGAAUAAGCUCCGGCUAACUCCGUG